This 253-nucleotide ribosomal RNA is filed under the name uncultured bacterium. RNAcentral's name for it is "partial 16S ribosomal RNA". It matches the Rfam family "Bacterial small subunit ribosomal RNA", at positions 524 to 776 of the family's 1533-position model. The record is from RNAcentral.
UACGUAGGGUGCAAGCGUUAUCCGGAUUCACUGGGCUUAAAGGGUGUGUAGGCGGAUUUUUAAGUCAGUGGUGAAAUCUCCGGGCUCAACCCGGAAACUGCCAUUGAUACUAUUAGUCUUGAAUUCUGUUGAGGUGGGCGGAAUACAUCAUGUAGCGGUGAAAUGCUUAGAUAUGAUGUAGAACACCGAUUGCGAAGGCAGCUCACUAAGCAGACAUUGACGCUGAGGCACGAAAGCGUGGGGAUCAAACAGG